This 563-nucleotide ribosomal RNA is filed under the name Micromonospora sp. 343F05. RNAcentral describes it as "bacterial SSU rRNA". It matches the Rfam family "Bacterial small subunit ribosomal RNA", at positions 93 to 671 of the family's 1533-position model. Lineage: Bacteria; Bacillati; Actinomycetota; Actinomycetes; Micromonosporales; Micromonosporaceae. The record is from RNAcentral.
GAGCGGCGAACGGGUGAGUAACACGUGAGGAACCUGCCCUGGACUUUGGGAUAACCCUCGGAAACGGGGGCUAAUACCGAAUACGACUGCUGGCCGCAUGGUUGGUGGUGGAAAGUUUUUCGGUCUGGGAUGGUCUCGCGGCCUAUCAGCUUGUUGGUGGGGUAAUGGCCUACCAAGGCGACGACGGGUAGCCGGCCUGAGAGGGCGACCGGCCACACUGGGACUGAGACACGGCCCAGACUCCUACGGGAGGCAGCAGUGGGGAAUAUUGCACAAUGGGCGGAAGCCUGAUGCAGCGACGCCGCGUGAGGGAUGACGGCCUUCGGGUUGUAAACCUCUUUCAGCAGGGACGAAGCGCAAGUGACGGUACCUGCAGAAGAAGCGCCGGCCAACUACGUGCCAGCAGCCGCGGUAAGACGUAGGGCGCGAGCGUUGUCCGGAUUUAUUGGGCGUAAAGAGCUCGUAGGCGGCUUGUCGCGUCGACUGUGAAAACCCGCGGCUCAACCGCGGNCCUGCAGCCGAUACGGGCAGGCUAGAGUUCGGUAGGGGAGACUGGAAUUNCU